UCCCACACGGUGGAGUUAUUGCCACAGGGA
This 30-nucleotide non-coding RNA is filed under the name Rattus norvegicus (Norway rat). The record is from RNAcentral. Lineage: Eukaryota; Metazoa; Chordata; Mammalia; Rodentia; Muridae.